GCACUAAGAGACUGCUGAGAACUGAUUGGGCAUCAAGACACUGAACUGUAGAAAAUAAUGGAGCCUGACUGUGAGAACUGUCUGUAUUCAAACAUGUUAAGAGCUGAAUAUUUAAAAUUUGUUUGGCUCACCAAGCUUGGCUUUCUGAAGACAACAGAAGUGGGAUAGAGAGAUCAAAAAGAAAAAAAAAAUCAUAAAAGUAUUGCUAAACAAUCAAAUGCAAGGUAUUUUGUCUUCUUUCACUCCUUAAAAGAAAAUCAAUCAAUUAAUACACAAAGAUAAAAGUGAGAAACCUACUGUAAUCUACUAAGGUCCAGGAAUUUAAAGAAUCAAAUGUACCUUCUGGGUUUCGGAAUCCAUCGGGGAGAAUGUAGAGGGUGAUGAGAAGACUUUGCAUUUGACCAAAAAGCACUAGUAAAUAAGGAGUUAAAAUGAAGGCAGGCUCGCUGGUUUGCUGAGAUCUGUCAGAGUCUGACUGGCUGGCUACAUAUCUGUCUCUGGAACAAUAGGUACCUGUAUUCUGCACGGACUGCUGGGCAGCACUAGCACUCUGGAGAAGGUCUGCCGCUGUCUGCACUUUCCUGGUUCUAUGCAGGCAGAUGAGUGUCACAGCUGUAACUGAGGCACAGAGCAGUACACACAGUGGAGCCGAUUUCCGCGAUGGCGAGAGGGGGCACCGGAGGUGACAACAAUAACAAGACUGUCCUUCGGACAAGUUUUAGCGCUGAAUAUCUUCAGGAAAAUGGGUUCCAUGAGAAGUGACAUCCUCCUCGAAUCAAAAGGAAGAAUGACUUGGGCAAUACCAAAUGUUGAGUUAUCAAGUAUUUCGAUACCCAUAUGCAUCAUCUGCUAUUCUCAGGAUGAUGGAGUGAGUGAUGGAAUAGGUUGCCAACUGUAGUUACUCCACUCAGCACAGAAUGGCUGCGGGGAAAUAUAAUCAGACAUGCCCAAAGAAGUCUGCUUAGGGUGAAACAAAUACCUUUGAGGUUUAAAUCAGAAAGGAAGGAGAGACUGUUUCUACAGGUGUCAUACAAAAAUCAAUACUGAGCCAAGGAUUAUUGGAUCCCAUAGAACCACGGAGACUUGGUAGUGAAAUUCUUCCAAAGGCAGAUGGUGUUCCUAGGUUUGGAAAUAUAAAUCCCAUGGGAAGUCAGCUGAAGACCAUUUUAUGCAUCACUCAUCCUGUUAGAGCCCUGUGCUGUUCUGUCUCUCUAUAAGACUGGCUGAAACCACCACGGUUGUUUACAAUUUAUGCUCUAACUUUGGAUCACCUAGUUAAUACUCUAACUCCGAUUAUUACCAAAGACAAUGUUCUAUAAAAGAUAUUGUCUAUUAGAAGGAUGCUUCUGCAUUAUUAAUAAAAUCACAGGGAAAAUGCAACAUUUUGGAUGUCACAUCUGAUAAGUUGGCAGUUAAAGAACAGAAACAGCAAUAAGACUGCGUGGCUACAUUUUCCCAGUGCCACCAACUGGGAUUUAAGCUGACUAACAUUUUGAAAGCCCAGCCCAUUUCAUUCACAGCAGGAUGGCAGUGGGUGACUGAUCGUACCCGCCAGCUGGCUAAUGUCAUAAUUAACAAAGUUGCUACUACAUCUGCAAAGUUUAAUCGAAAAAUUUGCCAGUGAUAUGAUGGCCUUGUCACAGAGAUCACAAGGGACACGGAGUUGACUUUUGCUCAAGGUGGAACGACAGAGCUGUGUAGGCAAGAUGAGAAAUUGCGAACUUGUUCGGCCAAAGGAUUAUCUCCUGAGAUGUGUAGAAAUGAACUCUUGUCAGAGUUUCAAAGGAAUUAACGUUUUUUGGUAAAAUGUGCUAAUGUAAAGAGUGAGAAGAUUAGUGAUACAUAAUGAAAGCAAUGCAUUCUUUCACAUGGAAAUGGGAAUAUAAUAAAUGUCCUGCAGGU
Molecule: long non-coding RNA, 1902 nt
Organism: Homo sapiens (human)
Lineage: Eukaryota; Metazoa; Chordata; Mammalia; Primates; Hominidae
Source: Ensembl